UCAAGUGAAUAAGUGCAUAUGGUGAAUGCCUUGGCGAUUACAGGCGAUGAAGGACGUGGUAGUCUGCGAAAUUUUUCGGGGAGCUGGCAAACAAGCUUUGAUCCGGAAGUGUCCGAAUGGGGAAACCCACCCGCAAGGGUAUCCAUCUCUGAAUACAUAGGAGAUGAGAAGCGAACCGAGUGAACUGAAACAUCUAAGUAACUCGAGGAAAAGAAAUCAACCGAGAUUCCGGCAGUAGUGGCGAGCGAAACCGGAACAGCCUGUUAUUUUUAGCACAUGCGUUAGUAGAACGGAAUGGAAAGUCCGGCCAUAGAGGGUGAUAGCCCCUUAUACGAAAACCCGUGUGUGGAACUAGGAUAACGACAAGUAGGGCGGGACACGUGAAAUCUUGUCUGAAUAUGGGGGGACCAUCCUCCAAGGCUAAAUACUCGUAAUCGACCGAUAGUGAACUAGUACCGUGAGGGAAAGGCGAAAAGAACCCCGGGAGGGGAGUGAAAUAGAUCCUGAAACCGUAUGCAUACAAACAGUGGGAGCGGACUUGUUCCGUGACUGCGUACCUUUUGUAUAAUGGGUCAGCGACUUACAUUCAGUAGCAAGCUUAACCGAUAGGGGAGGCGUAGCGAAAGCGAGUCCUAAUAGGGCGUUUAGUUGCUGGGUGUAGACCCGAAACCAAGUGAUCUAUCCAUGGCCAGGAUGAAGGUGCCGUAACAGGUACUGGAGGUCCGAACCCACAAAUGUUGAAAAAUUUGGGGAUGAGCUGUGGAUAGGGGUGAAAGGCUAAACAAACUUGGAGAUAGCUGGUUCUCUCCGAAAACUAUUUAGGUAGUACCUCGUAUCUUACUCUCGGGGGUAGAGCACUGUUAUGGCUAGGGGGUCCUUAAGGACUUACCAAACCAUUGCAAACUCCGAAUACCGAGAAGUACAAUUACGGGAGACAGACAGCGGGUGCUAACGUCCGUUGUCAAGAGGGAAACAACCCAGACCGCCAGCUAAGGUCCCAAAUGAUAUGCUAAGUGGUAAACGAAGUGAGAAGGCCCAGACAGCCAGGAGGUUGGCUUAGAAGCAGCCACCCUUUAAAGAAAGCGUAAUAGCUCACUGGUCGAGUCGUCUCGCGCGGAAGAUGUAACGGGGCUAAGCAUAUAACCGAAGCUGCGGAUGCAUAUUUAUAUGCAUGGUAGGAGAGCGUUCUGUAAGUCUGUGAAGGUGUUCUGUGAGGAAUGCUGGAGGUAUCAGAAGUGCGAAUGCUGACAUGAGUAGCGAUAAAGGGAGUGAAAGGCUCCCUCGCCGAAAGCCCAAGGUUUCCUGCGCAACGUUCAUCGGCGCAGGGUGAGUCGGCCCCUAAGGUGAGGCAGAAAUGCGUAGCCGAUGGGAAACAGGUUAAUAUUCCUGUACCUCAAUUUAAUGCGAUGUGGGGACGGAGAAGGUUAGGUCAGCCAGGUGUUGGAUAUCCUGGUUCAAGCAUGUAGAUAGAUUCCUUAGGUAAAUCCGGGGAGUUAAUAUCAAGAUGUGUUAACGAGUGAACUUUUGUUCAUGAAGUGAUUGAUACCACGCUUCCAAGAAAAGCCACUAAGCUUCAGUUAGAUUGAGACCGUACCGCAAACCGACACAGGUGGGCAGGAUGAGAAUUCUAAGGCGCUUGAGAGAACUCUGGAGAAGGAACUCGGCAAAUUUGUACCGUAACUUCGGGAUAAGGUACGCCCCAGUAGGUUGUAGCAUUUUACAUGCGAAGGCCGAUGGGGUUGCAGUGAAAUGGUGGCUGCGACUGUUUAUUAAAAACACAGCACUGUGCAAACACGAAAGUGGACGUAUACGGUGUGACUCCUGCCCGGUGCCGGAAGGUUAAUUGAUGGGGUGCAAGCUCUUGAUAGAAGCCCCGGUAAACGGCGGCCGUAACUAUAACGGUCCUAAGGUAGCGAAAUUCCUUGUCGGGUAAGUUCCGACCUGCACGAAUGGAGUAACGAUGG
This 1964-nucleotide ribosomal RNA is filed under the name metagenome. RNAcentral describes it as "bacterial LSU rRNA". It matches the Rfam family "Bacterial large subunit ribosomal RNA", at positions 3 to 2010 of the family's 2925-position model. The record is from RNAcentral.